Molecule: RNA transcript, 2033 nt
Organism: Sapajus apella (tufted capuchin)
Lineage: Eukaryota; Metazoa; Chordata; Mammalia; Primates; Cebidae
Gene name: pescadillo homolog
Exons: 4
Source: RefSeq, a predicted model, not a curated record
AUGCACAAGACCCUAGUCUGCUACUCAACGUGGAGCGAUGGCCUUGAGAAGAAGAAGCGCGAAGGAGGCUCAGCCACCAACUACAUCGCCCGGAAGAAAGCUCAGAAGCUCCAGCUGAGCCUGGCUGACUUUAGGCGGCUGUGCAUUCUGAAGGGCAUUUAUCCCCAUGAACCCAAACACAAGAAGAAGGUUAACAAGGAUUCUACAGCGCCCGAACUUUUUACCUUAUCAAAGACAUCAGGUUUCUCCUCCAUGAACCCAUCGUCAACAAGUUCCGGGAAUACAAGGUCCCACUACGAACUUGACCACAUCAUCAAGGAAUGGUACCCCACAUUCACUGAUGCCCUGCAGGACCUGGACGACGUCCUCUCCAUGUGCUUCCUCUUUUCCACCUCCCCAAGGACCGGCAAGUGUCGCGUGCAGAUCAUUCGGCGGUGCUGCCGGCUCACCGUGGAGUUCAUGCACACAUCAUUGCCACCCAUACCCUGCACAAGGUCUCCCUGUCCAUCAAAGGCAUUUACUACCAGGCCGAGGAUCACUCCCUAUGCCUUCUCCCGUGACCACCCGACAGACGGACUGCAGUCAUGGCCAUCUUCACCGAGUUCUACACCACCCUGCUGGGCUUCCUCAACUUCCGCCUCUACCAGUCGCUCAACCUCCACUACCCCCCAAAGCUCGAGGGACAGGCCCAAGCAGAGGCGAAGGCCAGGGAGGGCACCUACGCGCUGGACUCCGAGAGCUCUGUGGAGAAACUGGCGGCCCUCAGUGCCAGCCUGGCCGGCGUGGUGCCAGCCGUAGAAGAGGAAGCCGAGGUGGAUGAGUUUCCCGCCGAUGGGGAGAUGUCGGCGCAGGAAGGAGCUGGAGGCGCAGGAGAAGCACAAGAAGCUUCCUGAGGGCCUGAAGUGCUUCCUGAACCCUGAGGUGCCCCGCGAGGCCCUGGCCUUCGUCAUCAGGAGUUCUGGGGCAGGGAGUGUCCUGGGACACGUCUUUGUGCAUCGGGGCCCCCUACGACGUCACGGACUCCGCAUCACUCACCAGACUGUUGACCGGCCUGGGCAGCAGACCUCCGUCAUAGGCAGGUGCUAGUACAGCCCCAGUGGGUGUUUGACUCAGUGAGCCCUAGGCUUCUCCUCCCCGGGGCAGACUACUUCCCUGGGGUGCAGCUGCCCCCACUCCUUUCACCCUUUGUGACUGACAAGGAAGGAGAUUACGUCGCACCUGAGAAGCUGAAGCUGCUGGCUCUGCAGCGGGGAGAGGACCCAGGAAACCUGACUGAGUCGGAAGAAGAGGAGGAAGAGGAUGACAACGAAGGUGAUGGUGAUGGAGCGGGAGAAAAUGAGGAGGAAGAGGAGGAGGAGGCCCGGCUGGCAGCCCUGGAGGAGCAGAGGAUGGAGGGGAAGCCAGGGUGAUGGCAGGCACCUUGAAGCUGGAGGAUAAGCAGCGACUGGCCCAGGAGGAAGAGAGCGAGGCCAAGCGCUUGGCCAUCAUGAUGAUGAAGAAGCGGGAGAAGUACCUGUACCAGAAGGUCAUGUUUGGCAAGUGGUGAAAAAUCCGAGAGGCCAACAAGCUGGCGGAGAAGCGGAGAGCCCACGAUGAGGGGUGGAGUCUGAGAAGGCCAAGAAGGCAAGGCCGGAGUGAGUGCUGGCGGCCCCUCAGGGCUGAGGCCAGCUCCUAGCAGCUGAACAUGGCAGAGGCAGGCCACGGGAACUAAGUGUGAUGGACGAGAGUCAUUUCUCUUCUUUCUCCAGCCAGCCCUGAUCCUUCAUGCUCUCUAGCUGGGCCAAUGGGCAGCCCUGGCCCUUCCUUGGAUGGAGCUGCCCUGCUGGUGCCUGAGCAGAGAAGAGGCCUCUGUGCCCAGCCUGAUUCUGUGCUCCCAGGAGCCAGUGACAUGAGGUGCAGGGGCCCACCCAGCCCCUUACCUGCUGCCCCUAUUCACCCUGGCUUUCCACAGCUCUCUCCCGCACAGUUGGGCCCCUGAUUCUCAGGGUGCUGUGAUGGGGUGAGGAUAGGGGGAGCAUUUGUUAUUAAAUGAC